This 1218-nucleotide long non-coding RNA is filed under the name Equus asinus (donkey). RNAcentral describes it as "lncRNA (ENSEASG00005032312.1)". The record is from RNAcentral. Lineage: Eukaryota; Metazoa; Chordata; Mammalia; Perissodactyla; Equidae.
GCCGAUUGGCCGGCCGCGGUCGUCUCCCGGGGCGGCGCGCGGCCGGCUAUUUUUAGAGGCCUAUAUAAGGGCGCGGCGCGCGCGCGGGGCCCGGCGGCCGCGGCCACACGGGCGCGGACGCACAGGCGCGGCUCCCGGGACGCGGGGCCGGCGCCUCCGACCCUCGCCGCUGCCGGCGGAGACCGGGCGCCCCUCGGAGGGCGGCCGCGGGUCGGGAGGGGAGUCCGGCCGCGGUCAGAUGCCUCCGGGGGGAGGGACGCCGCCCCCGCCCCCCGCCCGGACGCGAGUGCCCAGGGGGCUUCCCUUCCUAAAGAGCAAACCGAAAAGAAAAGCCCCUUCACCAGUGCCCACAGCCUGCCCAGCCGCGGGUCAGGAGCGCCACAGGAGGAAGCGCCGCACGACGGGCGGAACAAAGGCGAGCGGCGCGGGGACAGCGGCCGGGCCCGCCCCGCAGGCGCCCAGGUGCGCACAGGCCCCGCCCCCAGUCCCGCAGGCGCCCAGGUGCGCACAGGCCCCGCCCCCAGUCCCGCGAGCGCACAGGCCCCGCCCCCAGUCCCGCGAGCGCACAGGCCCGCCCCCCCGGGCCCGCAGGCGCACCCGGCCCAGCCCCCGGGCCCCGCAAGCGCCCAGGUGCGCACAGGCCCCGCCCCCAGUCCCGCAGGCGCCCAGGUGCGCACAGGCCCCGCCCCCAGUCCCGCGAGUGCCCAGGUGCGCACAGGACCCGUCCCCGGACCCCGCGAACGCUCGGAGGCACAAGGUCCCGCCCCCAGCCCCGCAACCGCCCAGGUGCACACAGGCCCCUCUGUCGGACCCCGCAAGCGCCCAGGUACAUAGGGCCCAGUCCCUGGCUCCGCGAGCGCCCAGGUGCGCACAGACCCCGCCCCGAUCUGCAAGCGUCCAGCUGCGCGCCACACCGCCACCUGCCCGCCCUCUCCUUCUGACCGAGAGCAAGAGACCAGGCACGGAGUCAGACUCCCAGUUAGAGUUGAUUGAAAGGGGCAUUUCGCUUGAGUGUGUAUUAAAGAGAAUAGAGGGAGCCGGGCAGACGUGGGGCGCCACCGGAGCUUCCCAGGGGCUUUAAAUAUGAGGCUCCCCAUGGGGCUUCGGGAGAGGGUAUCUGCCGAGCUGCGGUGGUGAGAGGCGGAACCGGACUGUGUUCUGGAGCUGUCGUAUAGAGAUAUAUAGAUAGAGAUCCUGCUAUCUCUUAGAUAAAAACCC